RNAcentral lists this ribosomal RNA (381 nucleotides) under uncultured organism. RNAcentral's name for it is "partial 16S ribosomal RNA". It matches the Rfam family "Bacterial small subunit ribosomal RNA", at positions 527 to 896 of the family's 1533-position model. The record is from RNAcentral.
GUAGGUGGCAAGCGUUGUCCGGAAUUAUUGGGCGUAAAGCGCGCGCAGGCGGUUCUUUAAGUCUGAUGUGAAAGCUCACGGCUCAACCGUGGAGGGCCAUUGGAAACUGGAGAACUUGAGUACAGAAGAGGAAAGCGGAAUUCCACGUGUAGCGGUGAAAUGCGUAGAGAUGUGGAGGAACACCAGUGGCGAAGGCGGCUUUCUGGUCUGUAACUGACGCUGAGGCGCGAAAGCGUGGGGGGGAGCAAACAGGAUUAGAUACCCUGGUAGUCCACGCCGUAAACCGAUGAGUGCUAAGUGUUAGGGGGUUUUCCGCCCCCCCCUUAGUGCUGCAGCUAACGCAUUAAGCACUCCCGCCUGGGGAGUACGGCCGCAAGGCUG